This is a long non-coding RNA of Helianthus annuus (common sunflower), 1168 nucleotides long. RefSeq lists it as uncharacterized. The record is from RefSeq and is a predicted model, not a curated record. Lineage: Eukaryota; Viridiplantae; Streptophyta; Magnoliopsida; Asterales; Asteraceae. The transcript has 4 exons.
AUGAACAGUAAGAAAAUUGUUGGUCCAAUCACAAGGUGCCACUUAUUAGUUAUUACCAAAGUACACUUCAUUGCAUACAUGGUUUCAUCAUCUGACACGUUUGAUUUGCUUUUCUUCUGCUUGCCACGUUCCAACUCCAGGUCCAACAAUUGCUUCACCAUUCAAGAUUGCGGCCAUGUCUGAAACCUUCAUCAAAACCCUUUUCUCAAAUCGCUAACGACGGGGUCCAAUUAGAGUGAUGGCGUGAGCAAUACAAAAGAACUUUUAAAGAAACUAAAUCGAAAAAAAUACUAGCAAAGAUCAACAAGAAAUUCCAAAUUUUCUCCCCAACUCCCACAAGCAACGGUGAAACUGGAAUUUCGUUGAAGGCCUUUCCCUGUUCUGAUUCUUACUUUAAUUGAUAAGGUAUGCUGACAUAUAGGCCCUGUUGCUCUUAUGUUUUUUUACCAUGGAAAUCGAAGCUGUUGUAAUUAGCGGCUUAGGUCAUUUGAAAGCGUCAAUACGAAAUUGUCGAUUUGCUACGCAUCCCCUGAAGAUAAAUUGAGCAUCUAUUAAUUUUUGCCCCACAUCUGGAUAUUUUUGCAGCUUACAAAUUACGGAUAAAUUUUGAUUUAAUGUGGAUGGUGACUUUAUCAUUUAAAUAAGACGCUAGGUCUGUAUAUAAACAUCCAUGCCUUAGAUUUUACAUUUGCUACUGAGAUUUUCAUAUUGAUAUUCUGCUUUCAACUUGAGGAUGUUUUUGAAGUCCUGUACUCCUGGUUUUGGGUGAUAUCAUUUGUACUAUGCUUAGAAUUUUAGUGCGUUGGCAGUCACUAAGCACCCAAGCAUCAGUUCAUCUAAAUGCUAAAUUGAGGAAAUAAGGAAAUCAAUGUACCGUGGAAGCCGAUUUGGUAAAGCAUACUUUUGUGUCUUUGAUUCGUUUGUCUUGCUCCAGCAGAUAUGAUGUGAUGAUUUUCAACCAAGGUCAGAUAGCCACUUAGACUUUCACUCAGCUUGCAGCUAAAUUUUUCUUUGUAACCGGUGAAAUUGCAUAUGGUGGUGUCGGAUUAGAGGUCGCGUAGAUAGCUAAAAGAAGACUAUUGUAUUCUAUUUGCUUCUUAACUAUUUUAACAUGCCAAUGUAAUUAGUGCCUUAGUGGUAAGUUGAUUGUGUCGACGUUUCAAGGGCA